UGAGGAUUGAAUGAGAAAGUGAGAAAGCACGUGCCAGGCUCUAGAUUAGCCGCUGCCUCCCCCUCGCCUCCUUCUCUGGGUCUGUGACGUCUCCCUGCCCCCCGACCCUGCGUUCCUGGUGAACUCUCACUCCACCAGGUCUCAGCUCAGUGUCACCCUCCCAGAGAGCCCUUUGCUGGCUGUUUCAGAUAGAGCUCACAGCUCCCGCCACGGUCUUCUGCCGAGCUGGAAACUCCUUCACAGCAGGAAUCACUACUUUUAAACACCUUUGGAGCCUCAGAGCCUGGCAUCAUUCAAAAAAUAAACAUCAGACUUCAGAUUUUUCCCCAGGCCCUUGAAAAGUCCCUAGGCCUUGGGCUCUGUGUCUGCCCUGCCUCACAGAGGAAAACAUCCUGCCUGAGACCCUUCAGCUGCUGGGCAAUCGUGGCAGACCAGUAUCAGAAACUUCCAAGCAAGGGCAGAAGUCACUGCAAAAGCCAGCAAUGGGAAAGGCCAAUGGAUGCAAGCAGAGUUGUUUUCUCUGUGCCAACAAACCAACUCCAGAAGGACGGAAAUUCAACUGGAGGAGCCACGUGAGACGGGCUCACCCUUCCCGUCUCUGCCUCUCCCGGAGCACUGCUCCCAAGGAAAGUUGUGUGCCCUCACUCUGCUGAGCCAGGUCCUUGCCCAGGGGCACCGUACCUGGCCCAGGAAAUGUGCUCAGGACUUGCUGGCUGCAUUAAUGAAANNNNUAAGUCUCUCAUUUUGCUGAGAAGGAAAGCCAGAGAAGGAAAUGUGAGGACUUCACAACGGGGGUAAUUUGCCCGCGGUCAUCGAGGACGGUAGGGACACCGGGUCUGGGAUUAGAAUCCCCACCCCUGCUUCUUACACUGCUUUACCUGAAGGUUACAGGCUUUCCUACUUGAUGUGAUCUCAGGUCAUUCUCACAACAACCCAUGUGAUUAUCACCGUAUGUCGUCAGAUCUAAGAUCACCAAUGGGACACACCACUAUUUUAUAUAACAAAAAGAAAAUUUUUAAAAAUUUAAAAACCAGCACUGCCAAGCAUCCCUGAGCGACAUCAACUGUAAGCUGCAUC
Molecule: long non-coding RNA, 1077 nt
Filed under: Capra hircus (goat)
Lineage: Eukaryota; Metazoa; Chordata; Mammalia; Artiodactyla; Bovidae
Description: lncRNA (ENSCHIG00010016764.1)
Source: RNAcentral